Molecule: unclassified non-coding RNA, 337 nt
Filed under: soil metagenome
Description: partial contains 5.8S ribosomal RNA, internal transcribed spacer 2, and large subunit ribosomal RNA
Rfam family: 5.8S ribosomal RNA (bases 1-120)
Source: RNAcentral
GAUGAAGAACGCAGCGAAAUGCGAUAAGUAAUGUGAAUUGCAGAAUUCAGUGAAUCAUCGAAUCUUUGAACGCACAUUGCGCCCGCCAGUAUUCUGGCGGGCAUGCCUGUUCGAGCGUCAUUUCAACCAUCAAGCCCCCGGGCUUGUGUUGGGGACCUGCGGCUGCCGCAGGCCCUGAAAAGCAGUGGCGGGCUCGCUGUCACACCGAGCGUAGUAGAUUUUAUCUCGCUCUGGGCGUGCUGCGGGUUCCGGCCGUUAAACCACCCUUUUAACCCAAGGUUGACCUCGGAUCAGGUAGGAAUACCCGCUGAACUUAAGCAUAUCAAUAAGCGGAGGA